This 211-nucleotide long non-coding RNA is filed under the name Hordeum vulgare. RNAcentral's name for it is "long non-coding RNA (HVUL_LNC018475)". The record is from RNAcentral. Lineage: Eukaryota; Viridiplantae; Streptophyta; Magnoliopsida; Poales; Poaceae.
CUACGGUAGAACACAUACAGUAAGAUAAUACAACAACAAAAUCUUUAUGGGUUCAACAAGUAUCAGGAGUAGCAUAUUUCUAGUCUGACGUUUAAACAUCACUGAUAUUGCAUUUGUUUUCCUUCUUUCUGGACAACAUCACUGGUUUGGUUUUCUCUUUUUGGAGCAUAUCACUGGUACUUGUAGAGCUAGUGUCACUGGUAUGUGAGUU